This 92-nucleotide non-coding RNA is filed under the name unclassified sequences. Its description in RNAcentral is "GP20-a RNA". It matches the Rfam family "GP20-a RNA". Rfam says of the family: gut metagenomes. Environment (Cow rumen (57)) The record is from RNAcentral.
UUUCCCCGGCGUUGCAGGGGCUUAAAUGCGACGACAACUCAUGCGCUGAGUGGCAGCGCGGUUACAAACUAAAUCUAAGUUGUGGAGGUAUU